CCGCAAGCCGUCCAGCAUGGUGGGGCCUGCGGUGGCCCCGGCCGUUCCUGCAGCGCUUGCCAGAGCAGCCCCGGGGUGGUUUGAGGCCUCCCCCUGCGCCCCUCGGGGGGAGGCUAUAGAAAUCCCACACACGG
Anser brachyrhynchus (Pink-footed goose) is the source of this 134-nucleotide small nucleolar RNA. NCBI's taxonomy places the organism in Eukaryota, Metazoa, Chordata, Aves, Anseriformes, Anatidae. The record is from Ensembl.